AGAAGAAGGGUCUCUUUCCUCCUGUCAAUCUCAUCUCACCUUAGGCACAGUGCCGAUGAUUUUCCAUCCUUUCUCCGCUUUUUUUCCUUCUCUUUUCCAAUCCUCUUGUUGGGGGUUUGGUAGAGUUUUCACUUGGAGAGAGAAUCGUUGCUUAAAGAACAAGGAGGGGAAGGAGUCCAAGAAAGGAGUGAACAUUUGGCAAUGUUCAAAUCAAGAAAACGAUCUUGAAAGGGCAAACAGGUUUGGUGUCAGCAUCCCCUUUGCGGGUUCCAUCAUUAGCUGCAAAAUCCAUCGCACCAAUCACCAGACUUCACCUUGAUGAUUCUUGGGUGCAUAAGGGCACCGACAAGAAACUCAAAUUUCAUUGCACGUUUCAUCAUUGUGUUUGAAGCGGAAUAAACCUUUGCUUGCUCCAGUCGUAUUAAGUCGCUCAUUGUUGGGUUCUGUUACUUUUCGGUCUUCGUCCCAAUCAUAAGCUUCUUCUUCUUUUCUCUCU
Syzygium oleosum is the source of this 496-nucleotide long non-coding RNA. RefSeq lists it as uncharacterized. The record is from RefSeq and is a predicted model, not a curated record. The transcript is spliced from 2 exons. Lineage: Eukaryota; Viridiplantae; Streptophyta; Magnoliopsida; Myrtales; Myrtaceae.